UCCACACAGGGACCCAUUCAGGGACAAGAGU
RNAcentral lists this non-coding RNA (31 nucleotides) under Homo sapiens (human). The record is from RNAcentral. Lineage: Eukaryota; Metazoa; Chordata; Mammalia; Primates; Hominidae.